Molecule: long non-coding RNA, 1385 nt
Filed under: Citrus x clementina
Lineage: Eukaryota; Viridiplantae; Streptophyta; Magnoliopsida; Sapindales; Rutaceae
Description: Citrus clementina (C. clementina) long non-coding RNA (CCLE_LNC005662)
Source: RNAcentral
UAGCUCAGUAUAUGAAGCCCAUCCAAAAAUAAACUCCAACAUUCAUAUGAGAUAAAUCAAAUACUCUACCCUAAGGUUAAGGAAAAGAAAUAUCAGCUAACUCGACAGCAGAAUUGCUGACUUCUAAAUUACAACUUAAAUAUUGAAAAUAUAUUAAUUCGUAUUACGUAUCUAAGCCCUAGCUAAGCUAUGUUUACAUGCAAGUGUGAACUGAAAAUUUUCCCAAAACCUUGAACCAUGAGAAAAAAAAAAGGCUUAGGCAAAAUGAUUACAUAUUUCUUUUCGGUGGGUGACUUUCUAGCAAACUUAUAUUUCUUUUUUCUACCAAUAUUAUAAAAUUCUUAUUCUUGGCUUGAGUUGAGUCUUCACUCAUGUCGUGCUUCUAUAUUAGGGGGGUCUAGACCACGCCAAAUAUAUCCAAAACUGGGUAAAUAUUAUUUAGAAGACAAAAAGUUGCCUAAAUUCCACCGAUUUGGGGCCCUUUGCUUUGAAUUUCAUGCCUUAAUGUUGUUUCAAUUCAUUUGAAAUUCUAGUUGCUUCCUUCCCUCCUUUUUCUUUUUUUCUUUAUUUUACCAACCGAAAGAGAUUCAUUCUCUUUUCUACUCCAACGGUCGAAAGCAUGCCCUCAUGUGGGUUCACAAAUCUCACAUCCAAAGGUCAUCAUAUCACCAAAUAAAUUUUGUUGAAGAUCUCAGCCGUUGAGUUAAUUCCAAGGUUUUGACCAUAACUAUGCCUAAUUGAAUUGUCUUAAACGGCGGGUUAUUCAAAUAUACUUUAUUCUUUUUGAAUAUAAUGAUUGCUUCACCUAAUUUACCUGCCUACAGCAUACUUCUUGGUUUCUCUAUGGGCAGCAAGUAAUGCAAUUUGUUUUAAUAACUUCCCCGAUUUACACUCUUUGAACUUGAUUGCGGAUGAACUGAUUAGAUGUUUACAUGUGGAUUUGAAAUUAUGAUAAAAAUGAAUUAACAUAUAUAUUAUGAUCCCAUGUGCAUUUUGGCUCCAAGAUUAAACAAAUGUGGCUUUUGGGUGCCUUUAUUUUUAUAAUAUGCCCCUAUCAUAAAGUUCUUGGUGUUGCUGACUUUAGCAUAAACAAUGAAAUAAUUUGUUAAAUGAGCUCUCGACUAACAUUAUAUUGUGAAAUUUAAUACAAGGAACGUGUUUCAUUUCUGAUAAAUGUUAUAUUUACCACUUACACUCCUAUUACAUUUUUAAUUUCUUAUUUUAUCUAUUUUAUUAAUAGAUAAUAGAAUUAGUUGUUAAAAUAAGAACAAAACAUCAUUUAAGGCGUAAUUCUUUAAAAUUUAAUUUAAAAUCUGACGCAAGCCAUUGGAAUUAAAAUUUUUUUUGAUAAUUACCUAGGAUUAAUUCGUUUCAUCUUCUCUUUA